GCCUCGAUAGCUCAGUCGGGAGAGCGUUAGACUGAAGAUCUAAAGGUCCCUGGAUCAAUCCUGGGUCGAGGCA
This is a non-coding RNA of Ciona savignyi (Pacific transparent sea squirt), 73 nucleotides long. The record is from Rfam. Lineage: Eukaryota; Metazoa; Chordata; Ascidiacea; Phlebobranchia; Cionidae.